RNAcentral lists this ribosomal RNA (461 nucleotides) under uncultured bacterium. RNAcentral's name for it is "partial 16S ribosomal RNA". It matches the Rfam family "Bacterial small subunit ribosomal RNA", at positions 338 to 795 of the family's 1533-position model. The record is from RNAcentral.
CCUACGGGAGGCAGCAGUGAGGAAUAUUGGUCAAUGGGCGGGAGCCUGAACCAGCCAAGUCGCGUGAGGGAAGACGGUCCUAUGGAUUGUAAACCUCUGUAGGCGGGGAGCAAUGCCGGGCACGUGUGCACGGAGGGAGAGGACCCGCAGAAUAAGCAUCGGCUAACUACGUGACAGCAGCCGCGGUAAUACGGAGGAUGCGAGCGUUAUCCGGAUUUCUUGGGGUUAAAGGGUGCGUAGGCGGUGCGCCAAGUCUGGUGUGAAUGGCCGCAGCUUAACUGCGGAACUGCUUUGGAUACUGGCGAACUAGAGUGCGGGAGGGGUAGGCGGAAUUCCUAGUGUAGCGGUGAAAUGCGUAGAUAGUAGGAGGAACACCGGUGGCGAAGGCGGCUUACUGGACCGUAACUGACGUUGAGGCUCGAAAGCGUGGGGAGCAAACAGGAUUAGAUACCCGGGUAGUC